GCGUUUCCGGGGGGCGGGUCGGCGGGUCGUCUCUCGGAUUGCCGGCGACGGAAGCUUCCGGGUCGAGCGGGAGGCGCUAGGGGUAGCCGGGCCUACGAAGGGCGCGUUAUCAAAGUGUUGUUCCACGUCGCUCCAGAACAAUGCCAAUAAUAUUGAGGGAAAGUAUCCUUCGCGGAACUGCUGGCCUAGAGGGUCUCGAUGAUGAGCUAGAGGUCUGAAUGAAGUCAAAGAACCACCAUGGAGGGAUCAAGGGAGACAGCUGGUGGGAGAGGAGUUGUGAAGAAAACAGGACGGUAGUCUCAAGAUUUCAGAGGUGGCCGCAGUUCUCUGCAAGCCAAAGUCCGUGUUGCCGCCUAGGAAUCAGUUGCUGAAGUGCGGGGCACAGUUCAUUGGAAUGAGAGUUUUAUUGAGAUAUAAUUGACAUACAGCACAGUUUAGGGUGUACAGC
This is a long non-coding RNA of Aethalodelphis obliquidens (Pacific white-sided dolphin), 448 nucleotides long. RefSeq lists it as uncharacterized. The record is from RefSeq and is a predicted model, not a curated record. NCBI's taxonomy places the organism in Eukaryota, Metazoa, Chordata, Mammalia, Artiodactyla, Delphinidae. The transcript is spliced from 3 exons.